This 253-nucleotide ribosomal RNA is filed under the name uncultured bacterium. Its description in RNAcentral is "partial 16S ribosomal RNA". It matches the Rfam family "Bacterial small subunit ribosomal RNA", at positions 524 to 776 of the family's 1533-position model. The record is from RNAcentral.
UACGUAGGCAGCGAGCGUUGUUCGGAGUUACUGGGCGUAAAGCGUGCGUAGGCGGUGUCUUAAGUUUGUUGUGAAAUCUCCCGGCUUAACCGGGAGGGUGCGGCGAAUACUGAGAUGCUGGAGUGCCGGAGAGGUAAGCGGAAUUCCUGGUGUAGCGGUGAAAUGCGUAGAUAUCAGGAGGAAUACCUGCGGUGUAGACGGCUUACUGGACGGUAACUGACGCUGAGGCACGAAAGCGUGGGUAGCAAACAGG